This 934-nucleotide long non-coding RNA is filed under the name Capsella grandiflora. RNAcentral describes it as "long non-coding RNA (CGRA_LNC000147)". The record is from RNAcentral. Lineage: Eukaryota; Viridiplantae; Streptophyta; Magnoliopsida; Brassicales; Brassicaceae.
AAACUCAAAACAGCAUUCCCACGAACCUUGCUACCAAAUUCCAGCUUGAUCGGAUUACAAUUUAUCCACAAGACGUCGCCCUGAAUCAGACACCUCGAAACUGUUUUCUCAUCUCUUUUCUAAUCUGUAAAUCAUAUACAUUGAUGAUGCAGUUCAUAUCUCAUUUUUCCUGUCUUCUCCCCCAAAGUUUCAGCUCUCUAUUCUUCAUGACUAACAAGAUACCCUUUUUCUUAAAAAUAAGAUCUGCAAGCUAGCCUUCAAGAUGUUACUUCACAACUUCUUCUCUUGAAGCAACUAAAAUUCUGCCUUUCUCAUCAGUUUUGAUGCAGAGUACAAAUGGAGUAGCAAAUCAACCCAGAAAAUUAUGAAAUUUGGUGGGGACAUCAACAACAGUCAUACGAAGACACAGCAAAAAGCAGAUCACGAUUCGGAUUUACGGUUUGAAAGUUACCUCCAUAUUUACAGAGCAGAUCCGGAAUGGUGCAGCCUGCGAGUAGCCAACUUUGAGGACAAUUUCCCAUAAAACAACAAAGAAUCAGACAGCGAUCUUUAUACCAUUGGAAGAUCUCGCUUUCAAGUUUUCAGAACAACUUUGAUAGCUCAAAUCCGAGGUCUGUAGCCAAAGUAACUGAAGAAGAAAGUAGCACCCAAGAAAGAAAACUGUGCUUGAAACCCAAAAUCUUCUUCUUUUCAUUAUUCUCUGAUUUCUUCACAAAGUACCAGUGACAUCUUUAAGAAUCAUAUUCCAUGGGCUUAUCACAAAAAUCCUGUGUGGCUGCAUCAGAACAAGAUCCCUUUCUCUUCGCUUUUGAACAAGAGCAAGAACACGUUCUCUGUUUUCUUCUUAUAGAGCUUUUUCUAUGAAGCUCAACAUUCUUCUCCCUCUUGUUGAUUGUGUGUCUCAAUAAGACAAGAAUUCCAAUUCACGACACAU